Long non-coding RNA from Meleagris gallopavo (turkey), 2888 nucleotides. Lineage: Eukaryota; Metazoa; Chordata; Aves; Galliformes; Phasianidae. The record is from Ensembl.
UCUCCUCCUUCUUCCCAUCACCUCAGGGAGAGAGGCUCAGGCCCAGGCUGAAACCUCACCCAGAAAACGUAGAGGUCUUCAGCCUCCAACAUGAGAUCUAUGCUCUUUGCCUUGGGUUACACACAGAACCUUGGAAGCUGAGGAGCCGCAGGAGACAUUUGCAGUGAUAGAUGACAAAUCAAGGUCAGCAUGAAACACCAAGUAUGUAUCUCUGGUGGUGGAGCUGGUGCUGAUUCCUGAGCCUGUCCUGAAAGCAUCUCCUGAAGGUGCAGCUGGGCUCCUCUCUGGGCUCUCACCUUCUGCUCCCCAGCUGGGAUGGGACCAGUGUGCUUUCAAAAGGAGAAGCAGCCUAUGAGAAAACAGCUUUCCCUCAGCAGCAUCUCCCUUGUAAAUGCUCCUUGUUCCCCAUCCAGAAGUUUGCCAGAGCUGGAUAAAGCUGAUUUCCUCCCCUGGUGGCAGCAGCGGAUGCAGAGAACAAUAGGUAUGGUGCCUGCUCAGGGAACAACUCCUGCUCCCCUGUGCCAUGCCCAGCCCUCAGCUGGGGAAUGGAGGGACCCACCCGAGGGAAAAGCCAGCUCCAGAGGAGUGGCUCGGAAAAGAACAUCGCACAAAUUCAUGGAAAGCAGUGAUUGAAUGAAGAAUGAGGUCAUGCAACUGUUCCAGGAAAGGUGCAGCCAAAAUAUGCGUUUAGAGCAGAAAUUUUUUGAAAUGGAUAAAAAUAAAAGAAUCUCAUCUCUAGAAAGAUGCAGGAGGUCAGAGGUACCUGAGGGCAAGCAGCCACAGAGCUGUGACCAUCCCCAGGAGCCCUUUUUGGUGUCUGAUCACUGAUGUGAAACUGCUUAUUGCAAAACCUGCAGCAGGACGUAUCUAGUGAUCACUGUCUCUGGGUAAUGUAGAUAAAACAUUUGCUUUUUUAUUUUUCCUUUAAUAGCGGAUGGUGAAAGAGUCUUUAAUCCUCCCAACGUGGGCUGACUGCAUCUGGUUGCUCGUUAGCAUCCACCCUGGGCCACCGCAGUCUCAGGCUCUAUUUGGGAUUACACACCUCCCCAAAAGCUGUUCUCCAGUUUGGCUUGUGUGGUUAUCCAUCCCAAAUGCAGCUCUUUACUUCUGCAAGUUUGGUCUAGCUCCUUCCAAAUUAUCACUGUGAAUUUAUUCAUAUCGUUGCUAGUCGUCUGCCUUCCAGACGCCUUGCAGCCCUCCCAGCCCGGAGUUAUUGUAAUGCACUCUUCAGUUGAUCAUCUGGGUUGCUCAUGCAAAUUUUGUAUGCCUGGGCACCAGACCCCUUGCAGUUUGGCAGAGAGAAUCCAAAGCCAUAUACUGAGCAUAAGAUGUCUCCUGUGCACUGUGUACCCACUGCAUGGCCUUCUUCUGGCUCUUGGGGGUGAACAAGAGAUGUGGGAUGAGCAGUCUCUGAGCUUUGGGGAUGCAGCAGAUCCUUUCCAUGCAAUGUCAGAGGUUAGCCAUGUUUAGCUAUUUAGAGCUUGGCAGUGUGUAGGAAGGAGGGAGAAAGCAUAAGGGACCGGCGUAUGUUCAGAUGCUCCGUAACGAUGUCAUCUGAAGAUGAUUUACGUCGGAGCUGGGACAUAUGCUGUGCUUUAUCACCGCAGUCAUCUACCAGGAUGCGUGCUGCCACCUGAUUGCAUGCCCACAUUUCUUCUUGGCUUUACACUUCACUCGUUCCCUGCAGAGGCACUGAGUGUGAGUCCUCAAGGUGAGCAAUACUGUCCCUGGGUUAUGGGAUCUCUUUGCUUUGGUCUGCACUCAUGCAGGUUGGCCUCUCGGAGCUUGCUGGGGGAGCCAAUGCACCUCUUAGCUGCCAGGUGCUAAAAUCCAUCAGAAGAAGGAUAAGGACAACUGGGGAAAAUUGAUGGCAUUAAACAUAUUGUGUUUCCUGUGAUUAGAAAUAAUCGACAUUUUUCUACAUUGUUCCUACACAUUUACCUAACUUGUUUGUAACUGUUUCCAGUGCUACACUCCUUUACUUCCCAAGCUAAUUCGUUACCUGUCCUUAAUUAACCCUGUCAUUAGGAAGGUUUCCUCAAGCGUCACCCAAGUGUGCUGCACUUUGAUCCGCCAUGUCACAUCCUACCCAUCAUAGACAAGGAGAACCAUGCACUCCUUUCUCUGAGAGGACAUUCUGUCUCUGAGGCCUAUUGGGAAGACUCCCCUCUCUCUUUUUUGCCAGUUUCCUUCAGUUCUUCCUCACUGGGUUCUGUUUUCAUCACCUUUCCUUCAGCCUAUGGGGCUCUGCCCACUUUGGAUCCUUCCAUGGUACUCCAGCUGAGAUCUCAACAGGGGUGAGCCAUGCCAAAGGGCAACUCAGUGUGCUUCACACCCAACCACUGUGUUAACUCAUCCCAUCUAAUGGGAAAGAAAAUAUUGCUGGCUCUCGUGGCUCUGUUGUAUGGGUGAAGAUGGAUAUUGUGGUGGAGAAGACCAGAGGAUGCUCCCCUUCCAGGCUGGGAAAAUGAUUUUCCAAAGUGGAAAAAGCAUCUUUCACAAUCCAGAUCUCUUGUAGCAGGGAAUUUGAUUUUGGUGAUAUUUUCAGGCUGACUUGGGUUUUAGUUUGCCUUGUUUUGCAAGGAUGAGAACAUUUUGUGCUGAUGAAAUCGUUCAGCUUAAUUGCACACUAAAAGCAUGUUGAUGUUUAUAUUAUGUGAGUAUUAAUUUUAAUCUCCAAUAUUAAUCAGUAGCAAUGUAAACAAUGUAUUGAGUAUUAUCCUUGCCAGGCUCUAUUUGUAUAUAAUUCAAUAUUUACAACAGGUGUUUAAUAUUUUGUAUUGUGUGAUAACAUUUCUCUGUCACUGUUCAUCAGGGACAGGAAAAGAAAGAAAGGGUUUAAAGUGCAGUGAGGGAGUUUAAAUUAAAUUCCAGGAGCAUUUUCCUUA